RNAcentral lists this ribosomal RNA (447 nucleotides) under uncultured bacterium. RNAcentral's name for it is "bacterial SSU rRNA". It matches the Rfam family "Bacterial small subunit ribosomal RNA", at positions 331 to 793 of the family's 1533-position model. The record is from RNAcentral.
CCAGACUCCUACGGGAGGCAGCAGUGGGGAAUAUUGCACAAUGGGCGAAAGCCUGAUGCAGCAACGCCGCGUGAAGGAAGAAGGCCUUCGGGUCGUAAACUUCUGUCCUUGGGGAAGAAGAACUGACGGUACCCAAGGAGGAAGCCCCGGCUAACUACGUGCCAGCAGCCGCGGUAAUACGUAGGGGGCAAGCGUUAUCCGGAAUUACUGGGUGUAAAGGGAGCGUAGGCGGGACGGCAAGUCAGAUGUGAAAACUGAGGGCUCAACUUUCAGACUGCAUUUGAAACUGCUGUUCUUGAGUGAAGUAGAGGUAAGCGGAAUUCCUAGUGUAGCGGUGAAAUGCGUAGAUAUUAGGAGGAACAUCGGUGGCGAAGGCGGCUUACUGGGCUUUUACUGACGCUGAGGCUCGAAAGCGUGGGGAGCAAACAGGAUUAGAUACCCUUGUAC